GUUAGGAAUAUUCCGCAAUGGGCGAAAGCCUGACGGAGCAAUGCCGCGUGAAGGAUGAAGGCCUAUGGGUUGUAAACUUCUUUUCUCAGAAAAGAAUUAUGACGGUAUCUGAGGAAUAAGCAUCGGCUAACUCUGUGCCAGCAGCCGCGGUAAGACAGAGGAUGCAAGCGUUAUCCGGAAUGAUUGGGCGUAAAGCGUCUGUAGGUUGUUUAAAAAGUAUUCUGUCAAAGAUUAGGGCUUAACCCUAGAUAGGCAGAAUAAACUUUUAAGCUAGAGUUUGGUAGAGGCAGAGGGAAUUCCCGGUGGAGCGGUGAAAUGCGUAGAUAUCGGGAGGAACACCAAAGGCGAAGGCACUCUGCUGGGCCAAUACUAACACUGAGAGACGAAAGCGAGGGGAGCAAAUGGGAUUAGAUACCCUAGUAGUCC
Molecule: ribosomal RNA, 426 nt
Filed under: uncultured bacterium
Lineage: Bacteria
Description: bacterial SSU rRNA
Rfam family: Bacterial small subunit ribosomal RNA
Source: RNAcentral